GCUUCGUACAUGUCAAAUGGAGGAGAAAGUAAGAAGAAACGAAAUGACAGUGUUUAUAGGUGAAUAAUUGUUAAGAAGAAACGAAAUGGCAGUGCUUAUAGGUGAAGAAUUGUUAGGAAUACUAGCGUCGGCUAGUCUAUCUAAAAAAUACGUAAGAUUAUCUUCACCCUUUUCAUUUUCGUCGUUUGUCAAACACUCCCUGCCUUCGUCGUUCGUCAAGCACCCUCCGUUCGCUCUCUCGCCAAACCGUUUCUUCGUCCGCCCCCCAUCCCCCCGUGGUCCCUCUCCAAAAAAGAAACCAUAGGCCCAACCAUCAUGCCUCCAUGCCGCCGCUUCAGCUGCUCGCUGCACAGCCCAUCCGUCGCCAUCCUCAUGUGCUGCCCCUGCUGCUCGCCGUCAUCGCACGCGCAAAGCCCCACAAAGCUCUCCUUCACUCGCUUGCCAAGAUCCAUGGCGGCGGCUGGGAGUGUUGGGCAAUUGGGGCGUAGUUGCGGAGGAGGAGUUCAACGAGCGGGAGAUGGAGGUGGCCAUCGCUGCCACGCGUCCACCUCCAGUACCCCGUCAAAGGAUGUUUGGGCGGACUGCUUUAUGGUUUGAAUUGCUGCAGGCCGUCCGAUUUAAACGUGUGGUGCAUGCUGGCUCGCGAGGCACGCGAUUAAUUGGAGUUCAGAAUAGCAAGUUGCGGCAAUCAAUUCAGGAAAAGGAGAAACGAAUUGAUGAAUUUUGUGUCUAGAUUCAGUGUUGCUAUGGGCUCUGAAUUUUUUGAACCUCUGAAAUUCCUGAUCUUGCAUAUGCAGUGCUAAUGUAUCAUGUAUGAGAUAUAUAUGCAGGAUUAGUGGUAUUGCAAAAAAAAAAAACUCGAUGAUCUGUGAGAUAUUGUGUGUUCAAGUUGGCCUGUUCGCCAUAAUGUUCUUUUUCUAUACACAUAAAAAUGUGAUUUUGAUGGUAUUGGUGAUUGUCGACAAGAGUAUCAAAGCGGGCAUUCUGACUUUAGUU
Molecule: long non-coding RNA, 996 nt
Organism: Brachypodium distachyon (stiff brome)
Lineage: Eukaryota; Viridiplantae; Streptophyta; Magnoliopsida; Poales; Poaceae
Exons: 2
Source: RefSeq, a predicted model, not a curated record